This 1326-nucleotide small RNA is filed under the name Candidatus Phytoplasma cirsii. RNAcentral's name for it is "bacterial SSU rRNA". The stretch from base 1 to 1110 matches the Rfam family "Bacterial small subunit ribosomal RNA", at positions 418 to 1533 of the family's 1533-position model. The record is from RNAcentral. Lineage: Bacteria; Bacillati; Mycoplasmatota; Mollicutes; Acholeplasmatales; Acholeplasmataceae.
UCGGUAUGUAAAGUUCUUUUAUUAAGGAAGAAAAAAGAGUGGAAAAACUCCCUUGACGGUACUUAAUGAAUAAGCCCCGGCUAAUUAUGUGCCAGCAGCCGCGGUAAUACAUAAGGGGCGAGCGUUAUCCGGAAUUAUUGGGCGUAAAGGGUGCGUAGGCGGUUUAAUAAGUCUAUAGUUUAAUUUCAGUGCUUAACGCUGUUGUGCUAUAGAAACUGUUUUACUAGAGUGAGAUAGAGGCAAGCGGAAUUCCAUGUGUAGCGGUAAAAUGCGUAAAUAUAUGGAGGAACACCAGAGGCGUAGGCGGCUUGCUGGGUCUUUACUGACGCUGAGGCACGAAAGCGUGGGGAGCAAACAGGAUUAGAUACCCUGGUAGUCCACGCCGUAAACGAUGAGUACUAAGUGUCGGGCAAAACCGGUACUGAAGUUAACACAUUAAGUACUCCGCCUGAGUAGUACGUACGCAAGUAUGAAACUUAAAGGAAUUGACGGGACUCCGCACAAGCGGUGGAUCAUGUUGUUUAAUUCGAAGAUACACGAAAAACCUUACCAGGUCUUGACAUUUUCUUGCGAAGUUAUAGAAAUAUAAUGGAGGUUAUCAGGAAAACAGGUGGUGCAUGGUUGUCGUCAGCUCGUGUCGUGAGAUGUUAGGUUAAGUCCUAAAACGAGCGCAACCCUUGUCGUUAAUUGCCAGCAUGUAAUGAUGGGGACUUUAACGAGACUGCCAAUGAAAAAUUGGAGGAAGGUGGGGAUUACGUCAAAUCAUCAUGCCCCUUAUYAUCUGGGCUACAAACGUGAUACAAUGGUUGAUACAAAGAGUAGCUGAAACGCGAGUUUUAGCCAAUCUCACAAAAUCAAUCUCAGUUCGGAUUGAAGUCUGCAACUCGACUUCAUGAAGUUGGAAUCGCUAGUAAUCGCGAAUCAGCAUGUCGCGGUGAAUACGUUCUCGGGGUUUGUACACACCGCCCGUCAAACCACGAAAGUUGGCAAUACCCCAAAGCGGUCGCCUAACUUCGUAAGAAGAAGGAUCCGUCUAAGGUAGGGUCGAUAAUUGGGGUUAAGUCGUAACAAGGUAUCCCUACCGGAAGGUGGGGAUGGAUCACCUCCUUUCUAAGGAAACAAUAAAAUUAUCAUCUUCAGUUUUGAAAGACUUAGAAAAUUAAUAAGUUUUUCUUUUUUAAGGCAUUAAGGGCCUAUAGCUCAGCUGGUUAGAGCACACGCCUGAUAAGCGUGAGGUCGGUGGUUCAAGUCCAUUUAGGCCCACCAGUUUAUUUUAAAAGUUAUAAGCGUUGUCUUAAAAAAAGUUCUUUGAAAAGUAGAUAAACA